GGGAUCAUAGCUCAGCUGGGAGAGCAUCUGCCUUACAAGCAGAGGAUCAUAGGUUCGAGCCCUAUUGGUCCCA
This 73-nucleotide transfer RNA is filed under the name Tyzzerella sp. Its description in RNAcentral is "tRNA-Val". It matches the Rfam family "tRNA". Rfam says of the family: Transfer RNA (tRNA) molecules are approximately 80 nucleotides in length. Lineage: Bacteria; Bacillati; Bacillota; Clostridia; Lachnospirales; Lachnospiraceae. The record is from RNAcentral.